GCUAGCUACAGGCUUAACACAUGCAAGUCGAGGGGCAGCAUCAUCAAAGCUUGCUUUGAUGGAUGGCGACCGGCGCACGGGUGAGUAACACGUAUCCAACCUGCCGACAACACUGGGAUAGCCUUUCGAAAGAAAGAUUAAUACCGGAUGGCAUAGUUUUCCCGCAUGGGAUAAUUAUUAAAGAAUUUCGGUUGUCGAUGGGGAUGCGUUCCAUUAGGCAGUUGGCGGGGUAACGGCCCACCAAACCAACGAUGGAUAGGGGUUCUGAGAGGAAGGUCCCCCACAUUGGAACUGAGACACGGUCCAAACUCCUACGGGAGGCAGCAGUGAGGAAUAUUGGUCAAUGGACGAGAGUCUGAACCAGCCAAGUAGCGUGAAGGAUGACUGCCCUAUGGGUUGUAAACUUCUUUUAUACGGGAAUAAAGUUAGCCACGUGUGGCUUUUUGUAUGUACCGUAUGAAUAAGGAUCGGCUAACUCCAUGCCAGCAGCCGCGGUAAUACGGAGGAUCCGAGCGUUAUCCGGAUUUAUUGGGUUUAAAGGGAGCGUAGGCGGGUUGUUAAGUCAGUUGUGAAAGUUUGCGGCUCAACCGUAAAAUUGCAGUUGAUACUGGCGACCUUGAGUGCAACAGAGGUAGGCGGAAUUCGUGGUGUAGCGGUGAAAUGCUUAGAUAUCACGAAGAACUCCGAUUGCGAAGGCAGCUUACUGGAUUGUAACUGACGCUGAUGCUCGAAAGUGUGGGUAUCAAACAGGAUUAGAUACCCUGGUAGUCCACACAGUAAACGAUGAAUACUCGCUGUUGGCGAUAUACGGUCAGCGGCCAAGCGAAAGCAUUAAGUAUUCCACCUGGGGAGUACGCCGGCAACGGUGAAACUCAAAGGAAUUGACGGGGGCCCGCACAAGCGGAGGAACAUGUGGUUUAAUUCGAUGAUACGCGAGGAACCUUACCCGGGCUUAAAUUGCAACUGACUGAACCGGAAACGGUUCUUUCUUCGGACAGUUGUGAAGGUGCUGCAUGGUUGUCGUCAGCUCGUGCCGUGAGGUGUCGGCUUAAGUGCCAUAACGAGCGCAACCCUUACGGGUAGUUACCAUCAGGUUAUGCUGGGGACUCUACCCGGACUGCCGUCGUAAGAUGUGAGGAAGGUGGGGAUGACGUCAAAUCAGCACGGCCCUUACGUCCGGGGCUACACACGUGUUACAAUGGGGGGUACAGAAGGCAGCUACACGGCGACGUGGUGCUAAUCCCGAAAGCCUCUCUCAGUUCGGAUUGGAGUCUGCAACCCGACUCCAUGAAGCUGGAUUCGCUAGUAAUCGCGCAUCAGCCACGGCGCGGUGAAUACGUUCCCGGGCCUUGUACACACCGCCCGUCAAGCCAUGAAAGCCGGGGGUACCUGAAGUACGUAACCGCGAGGAGCGUCCUAGGGUAAAACUGGUGAUUGGGGC
Molecule: ribosomal RNA, 1441 nt
Filed under: uncultured organism
Description: 16S ribosomal RNA
Rfam family: Bacterial small subunit ribosomal RNA
Source: RNAcentral